Molecule: ribosomal RNA, 104 nt
Rfam family: Bacterial small subunit ribosomal RNA
CAUUGUUGGAGAGUUUGAUCCUGGCUCAGGACGAACGCUGGCGGCGUGCUUAACACAUGCAAGUCGAACGCUGAAGCACUUUCGGGUGUGGAUGAGUGGCGAAC